Molecule: transfer RNA, 75 nt
Filed under: Spirochaetes bacterium GWF1_51_8
Lineage: Bacteria; Pseudomonadati; Spirochaetota
Description: tRNA-Val
Rfam family: tRNA
About the family: Transfer RNA (tRNA) molecules are approximately 80 nucleotides in length. Their secondary structure includes four short double-helical elements and three loops (D, anti-codon, and T loops). Further hydrogen bonds mediate the characteristic L-shaped molecular structure. tRNAs have two regions of fundamental functional importance: the anti-codon, which is responsible for specific mRNA codon recognition, and the 3' end, to which the tRNAs corresponding amino acid is attached (by aminoacyl-tRNA synthetases). tRNAs cope with the degeneracy of the genetic code in two manners: having more than one tRNA (with a specific anti-codon) for a particular amino acid; and 'wobble' base-pairing, i.e. permitting non-standard base-pairing at the 3rd anti-codon position.
Source: RNAcentral
GGGCGUUUAGCUCAGCUGGUUCAGAGCAUCUGCCUUACAAGCAGAGGGUCACAGGUUCGAAUCCUGUAACGCCCA